AAGAACUAAAUUUUUAGAUAACUGUUUCUACCAAGAAACAGUGCUGAAGAGUUCUUCCAGAACAUUAUUUUUAAAUCCAUGAAUAUUGUAGCCUUUACAGGAGAGAAAGUAAAGUUUUCACACACACGCACAUAUGCUAACACAUACAUGUACGGGUACUCUUCUACAUGCAUGCAUAAGAAGAAAUGUCUAGCCAGCCCAUUGAAUGUCCAUCCUGGCAAGACACAGCCUCAGAUCAGAGUCCUGUGUUUUCAUUCUCAUAGCUGAGAACUGUAAACCUCUUCUGAACUGAAAGAAGAGCAAGAAUGGAGUUCAAAUGGAGAUUCUCAAGUUGCAAAGGCUCUCUGGUUCAUUGAGGUCCUUGUAUGUUACUCCAUCAACAAAAACAGUUAAAUUCUGGUCAUGGGGGACAACCAGAUCUGUGCCAUUUCAUCUUACUUUCCCACAUCAAAGGUCCUAGCACCGAGUGAGGCACUCCAAGUGCUAAGAACGUUGUCUGUUGUGAGAAGAAAUAUGAGGAGCUUGUCCUACAUGUAUUGAGAGACUGGGUUAAAAGGCCGCUGCUUUCAAGCCUGAGCUCCUAAAACAGAGAAGUGCUUAAGUCAGCUUUUAGAUAUGUUAAGUGGGAUUUUCCGAAAUGCUGCAUUUUAAAGAUGGGUGUAGACUACAUUUGUUUAAGUAAAAUAUGCAAGGCCUAUAGAAAAGAAAUGGUGGAAGGGUGGUCUAGACAUAGCAAAACGUUACUUACAAUGCGGUAAGCUAUGUCAUGCAUUUCUUUCAUCUUACUGUAAAUGUGAUGCAAUUUACCUUUCUGCUAUUUUGAUUGAUCUCACAUUCACACUGUAGCUUGUAGCAUGAAGCCAGUUUCAAAACUUUCAUAGGUUCUGUCUUUGUUAAAAUAUUUUCCUGCUCUAA
Harpia harpyja (harpy eagle) is the source of this 915-nucleotide long non-coding RNA. RefSeq lists it as uncharacterized. The transcript has 2 exons. The record is from RefSeq and is a predicted model, not a curated record. Lineage: Eukaryota; Metazoa; Chordata; Aves; Accipitriformes; Accipitridae.